RNAcentral lists this ribosomal RNA (253 nucleotides) under uncultured bacterium. Its description in RNAcentral is "partial 16S ribosomal RNA". It matches the Rfam family "Bacterial small subunit ribosomal RNA", at positions 524 to 776 of the family's 1533-position model. The record is from RNAcentral.
AACGUAGGAGACAAACGUUAUCCGGAGUUACUGGGCGUAAAGGGCGUGUAGGUGGUUUCGUAAGUCUGGCGUGAAAUAUCUCGGCUUAACCGAGGCAGGUCGUCGGAUACUGCGGAACUAGAGGACGGUAGAGGCGUGUGGAAUUCCGGGUGUAGUGGUGGAAUGCGUAGAGAUCCGGAGGAACACCAGUGGCGAAGGCGACACGCUGGGCCGUACCUGACACUGAUGCGCGACAGCAUGGGGAGCAAACAGG